UGAUCGGCUCUCUCCGCCAUGAGCAAUCCACGUUGAUCUUCCACGCUCCCGGAUCUGGAGGUACCCACGAGUGUCUUUCCGAGGCCGUUUCGUGCUUUCCAUAUGUACCACAAAAUGGUCGCGAAGGUCGCCUUUUGAUUUGCUGAGAUGCCGGAGAAGAGGAUAAAUAGGUGCUCGGAGGACUCCGGAUGCUCGCAGCAGAAAGGGCAAGUAGGCUCAGGUAAGA
This is a long non-coding RNA of Eucalyptus grandis, 226 nucleotides long. RefSeq lists it as uncharacterized. The transcript is spliced from 3 exons. The record is from RefSeq and is a predicted model, not a curated record. NCBI's taxonomy places the organism in Eukaryota, Viridiplantae, Streptophyta, Magnoliopsida, Myrtales, Myrtaceae.